UUUUGUUUGUGAAUGUACUGAUAGCAAACGGUGUGUGCGCUGGAGCUCCGGGGUUCUUCAUGUCAACACAAUAUGUUUGUCUGUGGUGGGGAUCCAGUAGACGUCUGUUCUGAAUCACUCAUCCCAUCUCAUAUAUACACAUCAGGACUCAUGAAACAUGAAGAUAGCAAGCGUUUGCUACUGACACUCAGGAGUGAAUAUCAAGAGGGCAGAGCAAUCGUAGCCACACGCAGACUUCAUGUCGGAUGUGUCUACAGCACAAAACCAACCACAAAAAAAACGGUUGAGUUUACCUGGGAGAAUAUCCCACCUGUUGAGCAGCAGGGCUUCAAAGUGGCACCAAUGCAAGGAAGUGUGGAUGCAGGACAUAGAUGUCCCAUCACCAUCUCCUGGAUGCCACCUAGUGGUCUCGCUGUGAGUACUGAAAUCUUAGUUUAAACGGUUAGUUCACACCAAAAAUGUAAAUUCUGUCAUUAAUUACUCACCCUCAUGUCAUUUCAAACCCGUAAGACCUUCGU
RNAcentral lists this long non-coding RNA (518 nucleotides) under Sinocyclocheilus grahami. RNAcentral's name for it is "lncRNA (ENSSGRG00000006537.1)". The record is from RNAcentral. Lineage: Eukaryota; Metazoa; Chordata; Actinopteri; Cypriniformes; Cyprinidae.